GUUCUUUGAAAUGGGUUGGUACAAACGCAAAGAACAAUUUUCCAAACUACAAAGAGUGGACUGAAGAAGCGGAAAAGUCCUUAAUAGGGUGCGAUGGCAUCUGCCAACAGUCUUGCAAGGUUGACACGAGCUUUUGUGCAAGUCAAGAUAAACCUACACAGAAUCAGACCAAAUCCGUCAGUUGCCGAUGCAAAAUGACUCCUGUGCGUAAUUUCCGAGGCCAAAUUUGCAGCCUCGGUUUGACACCAUGCCUUGACCAAGACAAUCCAGAGAACUUAGGAUUUGAUGAUAGCCCGAUUGGUUUUUGGAUUGAAAGCCUUGAGAAUGAGACAUGAUUUGCUUCUAUGUGGUCUUCAGAAGAAAAGACAUAAUCAUGUCUUUUGUUUCGAAAUGUGUAAUUCCCGUAACGACUGCAUCAAUAUUUAUGUAUCCAGAUACUUCAGUUCCUUGAGUUAUUGUAUUGUGUGUAUUUUCAGCGAAUCUUCGCUUUUCUUUUGUCAGGUACACAUAUUAUGAUUUCAUUAUAAAUUGUAUUUCUAAUGGCACUGUUUCUCUUGGAUUCUCAAGGAUUUUCCUAACAGAGUACAAGUCGGGAAGAUUGUAAGCUGAAUGAAUUAAGAUGAACAACGAGGUUAUAUUUCCUUGGUAAUGUGGUGGAGGUGUGAAUGGGACAAAGGACCAAGGAUGAAUGGUGAAAGAGUGGAGGGAAGUUGGCGUAUGAUUACCGGAUGGUGGCUGUUGACUAGACAUUUAUUGAUCAGUUGUGGAGGU
Long non-coding RNA from Tigriopus californicus, 771 nucleotides. RefSeq lists it as uncharacterized. The transcript is spliced from 3 exons. NCBI's taxonomy places the organism in Eukaryota, Metazoa, Arthropoda, Copepoda, Harpacticoida, Harpacticidae. The record is from RefSeq and is a predicted model, not a curated record.